UGUUUAGAAGCUGGCUUACACUUUUAGAGGGCUAUGGAUGCAGUAUAAUUUACUGCUUAGGAAGUUACUAAAGGAACAGGGAGCAGUUAAGUGAAUGUAUUCACGGUCAUCUUGUGUGGGAAACAGAACUUCUGAAAUCAGAGAAGAGGAAUUUGGCUGCCUAGUGGGGCACGGCACCACGGUUGGACUGUAUCUUCAGUAAUGUAUGGAAUGGCUGAAUGUGCACUUGCUGUUGCCAUGAUGUGAGAAGCAGAUGUUUUCCCCUAUGACUGUCAGAGCUGCAGCCAGGCAGCAGGUGGAUCUCUUGAUCACAGAAGGAGAUCAGGUUCAUCAAGCAGGACCUGCCUUCCAUGAGCCCAUGGAAGGGCUCCAUGGCUGGGCCUGAUCCCCCAGUUUCCCGCACAUGCUAUGUGAUUUUACUCAAGAGGAUCUGUUCCAUAACUUUUCUGUCACUGACAUCAGGCUGACAGGUUGAUCCCCAAAUCCUCCUUAUGACUCUUCUUGUAGAUAGGAGUCACAAUGGCAAGCCUCCAUUCUCUGGGACCUCUCCAGUUGACCAGGAAAGCUGAUAGUCGAUGGAAAGUGGCCUGGCAAUCACCUCACCCUGACAGACUUUGUGCUGUUCUAGGUGAGACUGAUAAGAAGCAAAGAAUGUUUUUUACUUCACCUCAUCACCAAGGCAAUAUUCCAAAGAGUUACAAUAAAUGUGUUGCCUCUGCUGCUUAUCAUUCCUCCACAAUGUGAGGUGGCUCUUGGUCUACAGGGUUGUAAACUGUUGUCUGUGUAAAGACUGAGCUGUCCUGACAGGUUAAUAUAUUUCUUCUUUGUGGAUUGAAUGGAUUAUUGUGUAUUAUUUUGUGAAUAUCAUGUAUUUGGGAAUCAAAAUACUUAAUUCACAGAUACACACAUUUUUAGGGAUCACAGGACCUUUCAUUCCUGUGGGGAAGAUGGUGCAGUGAGGGAGAGAUAUUGGGCAAUUUACGUUGGAAGAAACUCAUAAUCUCUUGUUGUGCAUAUUAGGUGGUACAAUACUGCAGGGAGAUUGGACAGGUUAACGUGGUGUCCCCUGCUUUUCUGUACAUGGUCCUGGUGCAGGAAUCCACAGUUUUCUACGUUCUUUCUCUCCUCCCUGGGCUGCCCAAAGGUUUGAUAGGUGGUCUUGGAUGUGGGUGCAGAGCUGUUGGAUCCACCAUUAAAGUAAUAGGGAUUCCUGGGAAGACACACUAUUCAUUCUUAGGUGUCCUUAAUUUUAGGAUGGGAUAGAAAAACUCCUUGUUGUUGAUUUGUCUGAUUGUUUUCUAAUUUUCUGUCACUGUUGCUGACAUCCACAAUCAAAUUGUUCAAGACAUGUCCUGGGCACUUCUGUACUCCUUGAAGUCAGUGGGUUUUUUGCAUACUUUUGCUAUCUGUUUCUCUGUGGAAGCUAAACAAACCUGUUUUGUUAUUUUUGUCAGCUAGUCUAUCGUAUUUCAUCCACUAUAGCAGAAAUUUGGUUAAAGAUCAUGGGUUUAGGCAAAGGGGUAUGUUGAUUAGAUUUAGCUCAUGCAAGCUGCUAGAUGGUUGUAUCAGUCACAAGGUUUCGUGUAUAUUUAAUAUUAUGAAGCAUUUCUACUCUGGUUGGUAUGCUUUGCAGAAUUUGUUGAGGCAUGUUUAAAAAAAAAAGGUAAAAGCUUUCAGGGCUAAUCAAAAUACUUUCACUGGAUCAUUCUCAUUUGUAUUUCAUUUGAUGAUAACUGUUUGAAGAGCCAUCACUGUAGGUUAAAUGGGUCAGCAUAUGUGAGGCCUUCAGUAAAAGGUUGAGAUGUUUUUUUUUCUGUGAUUAUCUGGUUUAAAAGACUUUAAAGAUCACAUGUUUUCUAGCUUCAGGACUAAGUUUCUUAUCAAAUUAUACAAAUACAUAAAAUUAAAUAUUGCUUUUUGAAGAUUCUGGGGGAAGGAGGGAAGAAGUCUUACCUCUCUUACAGCACUAAAAUAUCAGAGACCAUAUUCUUAACAGAAGUAGAGGUGAAAGGAGUCAUUCUUCAUCUGAAAACUGUAUAUUUUUUACUGCUACAAAAUCUGUAUUUUCAGUGUUAAGCACUUUCAAGACUGAAACUUCACCAACGUGACUCUUUCGACUGCUGGCAGAUGACUGCUUAGCACUUUCCACAAACAAGGAAUUAAAGCAGCAACUGCAUAGAGGCCAUUCUCCUGAUGUCAGUGUGUGGAAACGCAUUGUCUCUCAGCCUACCUAGAAGUGCAACAGAAAUUGAGAGAAAUUUACAAUUAUCACCUGUGUAUCCACAGAGAGGAUAUCUGUAGCCCUUUCAAUGCCUUUUCCUCUUCCUGCAGACAUCCUGGUCUCUGUAAGAAUGAGUUUCUGACUCCUCUUUAGAAGGAAGUUCUCCAGCAAAUACAAUUCCAUCUGUAUUACUCACAUGGGUACUUCCCCUCUAUUUGCAAACUCAAAUGACAUGAAGUAAGAGGUUUGUGUUUUCAGUCUUUCCUGAAACUGUAAGGAAAAACCAUGAGAAACCAAAACUGCAGGAUAAACAAGCCUAACAUUCCAUCCAGCAGCAGCAGCAGCAGUUCACAUUCACCCGGACCAGCAGACAGGACUAAAAUUAACUCAGAGGAGAUUUCAGGAUGUCAAUAAUCGAAUUUUGCAAAUUAUGAAGUAUUCUUUGUGUUAUUGGAACGUUCUAGUAACCUAGAGAGAAAAAUAGUAUUUAUACUGCCAGUAGCUGAGAAUGGCUGGACUACUGUGGUGAUUUUUGUGGGCUAUUAUUUAAUUUUGUGGAUUUUCUUUCAAUCGAUCCAGUUGCUGUAAAGUAAGUUAAAAUUAAAAAGAUAAAUGAAAUCUGGAAUGGCCCACACCACCCAAUGCCUUCCAAUAAUUGUGUCUGGUAAGAGCAAGUAAAAUGGAAAACAAGACUUCACAGAAUAUGUUGUCAUUUCGUAGAAAAUAUCUAAAGACUUCUUUUGACGGUUAGUACUUGCUCAGUAUCUUACUCAUAUGAAGUGCAAAGUUAAUGUUGCAUAAUAAAUGUAGCUGUUAUCCACCGACUCUCAUUACAAGUCCAGAAUUUCUUAAGAACUACUGUACUAUGCAAUUUUGGGGGUGUGUGAGGGGGGCUAGGGUCAGACGGAAGAACAGGAGUAUUGUGCUAAAAUCACUUUGUAUUUAGAUCAGAUUAUGAAAUUCAGAUCUGCUCCAGUGAUGUAUUAUGGCUAAGUACAGAACUUAGAGAUGAAAGUGAUAAAACAAAUGAAAUAGUUUCAUUGACUCAACUACACUGCUGUUUGUUACUUAAACAUUUGCAUUCCAAACUCUGGUUCCCAUCUCUGAUAUUGCUAAUACCUCUGAUAAUAAGUGAUUUCCCACCUUUUUACAGCAUCAUGAAGCUUUUAUAUACACAGUAAUUUACUUAUUCUCCCGGUCCACAGUCAACAAUAACAGAGUACAUCAAUCCAUUGUACAUAGAGCUGGAAUUGUUUGAUCUAUUGUUAAUUAAAAUUUGAGAACAACCUUUGCAUACGUCACUUGUGGAAAGCAUGAUGCAUUUUGUUUAAUUAAAAACCUAUGAAAGUAAAAUCUGUUGUGCAUAAACUAAGAUACAGAAGUUUGUCAUAAAGAGAGAAUUGACAGAUCAAAUUGUAUUCAAGUAUUCCUCAGGCUUGGCCUUGUUUAAUGAAUUUUUACAAUCAGUCUUUUUCCCUGUAGGAGAGCAUUGUUGCUAACAGAGCUCACAUAUGAGGAAUAAACAAUACUUUGAUGUCUGAGGGGCCACAAAACCUCUCAUUGUCUGUGCAUGUAGAGGUCUAGCAGGUCCAUCUCUUUCAAGGAUUUAGUGUGACUUAAUAUUCAUGGUCCAGCACAACAAAUUCUGUGAGACAACUCUGUAUUCUG
This is a long non-coding RNA of Numida meleagris (helmeted guineafowl), 3889 nucleotides long. RefSeq lists it as uncharacterized. NCBI's taxonomy places the organism in Eukaryota, Metazoa, Chordata, Aves, Galliformes, Numididae. The transcript has 3 exons. The record is from RefSeq and is a predicted model, not a curated record.